CACUAAGAAGCUAUAUAGCACUAACCUUUUAAGUUAGAAAUUGAGAGUACUCCAACCUCUCCUUAGUGA
This is a non-coding RNA of Callorhinus ursinus (northern fur seal), 69 nucleotides long. The record is from the annotation of a RefSeq genome assembly. NCBI's taxonomy places the organism in Eukaryota, Metazoa, Chordata, Mammalia, Carnivora, Otariidae.